AUAAAAAAAUAAAAACCUAUUUAAAAAAACAACAUUCUGCUGGAAGGAUAUAUGUGGUCUGUUUCUUAGAGAGGUGAAUUAUGGUGCACUGGAGGUGUCAAAGUCUGGAAAAAGUGAACUGAACCUGAGGUCCUGAUUCUGACGGAGGUGCAAUUUGUGGUUCUACUGGAAAGGAAGUGAGCUUGUUGAAGACUGAUAACAUUUCAUUAGAUUGUGGAGGGACACCACAGGGAAAAGUUAAAAAUAAAGCAAGAAAUACAGAGCUUUAUAAAGAUCAACAGGGUGAUACAGAAUUGAGAUAUCCUGCCUACAGGUAAAAUUACAAUAGAAAUAGUACCGAAAGGCAAAGUAUCGUAAGGGAUUGUGUAAUACAGGGAAGAGCAGAGGCUCUAGAGUACAGCAUAUGGGAUUUCCAUUAGAAAAGUUAGUCAGAGGGCAGCCAAAAGGAGAGAUGGCAAUAGGAGAGCAGGAGGAGAUUAAUUACAUAGCAGAAGAAAGGCACGAUCCUCUCACGGGGAGACAAGCAGGGCUGCUCUGCUUUUAUAGAUAAUUAUUCCUAGUGAGGCCUAAGAUCCAAGUUCUUCCACGAAGGCACUUAUUCUAGAAAUGAAAUACUAAAAAUUUCAUUAAGCCAAAUCUUUCAUGAUGUCUUCUUCUAGUUCCUUUUUCAGGUGUACACAGUUUUAAGGGAAUAAAUGCACCCUCAGCCAAGGGAGAUGGAGAAAAAGUGACUGUACCUUGUGCAAGCCUUGCUGAUCGCAGAACAAUCAGGCCAAUUCUGUGUGUCGCAGAAUUACAGUGAUUCUGGCAGGAGAUUUUCACGGCCUCAUAAGAACUUAAUGGUGCAGAAAGCUCUGGUGACCCUGACGUGCUGCUUGCAUAUUUUGAUCUCUGUUUAAAUCUAUGCAGUUUUUGUGCAUCUAAAAAUAGGUCUGGAGGAGAAUGUAUUACUUAAUAUGUAUUCAGAGAAAGCAGAAGGAAAAGGAGGGCAUUUUAUCAAAAGUUAAAGAAUCCAUCAAACAAUAUGCACUGAAAAACUGCCAUGGUCUGGGAUCUUGGGAAGGUUCAAGGUUACAAAAUCCAAAGAGUCACAGUUGCCCACAGG
Long non-coding RNA from Camelus dromedarius (Arabian camel), 1105 nucleotides. RefSeq lists it as uncharacterized. The record is from RefSeq and is a predicted model, not a curated record. NCBI's taxonomy places the organism in Eukaryota, Metazoa, Chordata, Mammalia, Artiodactyla, Camelidae. The transcript is spliced from 3 exons.